RNAcentral lists this ribosomal RNA (409 nucleotides) under Streptococcus mitis. Its description in RNAcentral is "bacterial SSU rRNA". It matches the Rfam family "Bacterial small subunit ribosomal RNA", at positions 28 to 425 of the family's 1533-position model. The record is from RNAcentral. Lineage: Bacteria; Bacillati; Bacillota; Bacilli; Lactobacillales; Streptococcaceae.
GACGAACGCUGGCGGCGUGCCUAAUACAUGCAAGUAGAACGCUGAAGGAGGAGCUUGCUUCUCUGGAUGAGUUGCGAACGGGUGAGUAACGCGUAGGUAACCUGCCUGGUAGCGGGGGAUAACUAUUGGAAACGAUAGCUAAUACCGCAUAACAGUAGAUGUUGCAUGACAUUUGCUUAAAAGGUGCAAUUGCAUUACUACCAGAUGGACCUGCGUUGUAUUAGCUAGUUGGUGGGGUAACGGCUCACCAAGGCGACGAUACAUAGCCGACCUGAGAGGGUGAUCGGCCACACUGGGACUGAGACACGGCCCAGACUCCUACGGGAGGCAGCAGUAGGGAAUCUUCGGGCAAUGGACGGGAAAGUCUGACCCGAGCAAACGCCCGCGUGAGUGAAAGAAAGGUUUUUCG